ACGGGUGAGUAACGCGUAUCCAACCUGCCCACCACUUGGGGAUAACCUUGACGAAAGUAAGACUAAUACCCAAUGAUAUCUCUAGAAGACAUCUGAAAGAGAUUAAAGAUUUAUCGGUGAUGGAUGGGGAUGCGUCUGAUUAGCUUGUUGGCGGGUAACGGCCCACCAAGGCGACGAUCAGUAGGGGUUCUGAGAGGAAGGUCCCCCACAUUGGAACUGAGACACGGUCCAAACUCCUACGGGAGGCAGCAGUGAGGAAUAUUGGUCAAUGGACGAGAGUCUGAACCAGCCAAGUAGCGUGCAGGAUGACGGCCCUAUGGGUUGUAAACUGCUUUUAUAAGGGAAUAAAGUGAGAGUCGUGACUCUUUUUGCAUGUACCUUAUGAAUAAGGACCGGCUAAUUCCGUG
RNAcentral lists this ribosomal RNA (407 nucleotides) under uncultured bacterium. Its description in RNAcentral is "bacterial SSU rRNA". It matches the Rfam family "Bacterial small subunit ribosomal RNA", at positions 102 to 507 of the family's 1533-position model. The record is from RNAcentral.